This 29-nucleotide non-coding RNA is filed under the name Mus musculus (house mouse). Lineage: Eukaryota; Metazoa; Chordata; Mammalia; Rodentia; Muridae. The record is from RNAcentral.
UGCUUUGCUUUUAUCUGACAUCUGCCUUA